CGCCGGGUCUGCUCCCGGGCGCCGGCGCUGCUGCCUCGCUCCCCUCCGUCAUUUUGGGUAGACUUGGGGUUUGCAGAUCUUUGCUUGUGGUCGCUGUAAACCACGUUGUCUGCCCGAGUAGCAUCGGUAAAAAUAAACCACCCUAUGCAGAAAACCGCUGUGUCGGUUUUUGUUCUCGGAUUUAAGAGAAGACGGCGGGGAGCUCCGAGCCCGACCUAGGUCUGGCCGAGUAGGAACGAAGGCUGAAGGCGACUCUCGGAGUGGAGGAAGCGGCUCUGGGCUCGGCGCCGCCCGGGCUCUGAAGCUGGCAAGUGGAUUUACUCUGGGGAGAAGCGACCGUGUUUUGCGACCUUGCAAGACCUAUCUGUGCAGUAAUAUGAAGAGAGCAAGCACUGAAGUGGACCAAACAAAACUUCUAGUAAAUCAGAAAUGUGGUCACAGCCAGCCAGCGUACAAAGGCUGAGAGAGCUGCAGUGUUCAGGACAGAAACAAAUGCAGCAAAAUAAGCGGGGAAGCUUAUUCCCCUUAGAGCUACGCUUAUGGCAUUAUUAAGACCGCAGAGCGAUGUGCCCAAAGGUCUAGAACCCCGCUCGGAAGACAGCGUGCACAGCGCAGGCCAGCCCUCUGUACACGCGCCUCCCUUCAGCUCUGGCUUCCUGCUUCUCUCGCUGGGCCUCCUCUCUCUGUUAGCAAACAUGGUGGGCUUGCUUUGAAGCUGACUGCAUAAGACAGAAGAGGACCAUCCUAUUUCCUUUCAGCGCUUCUUUCACGUUACCAAAUUGUGAAGCCAGUGCUGCAAGCUGACAGCAUAACUGGUUAUGCAGAAGAAGCAGAAGCAGCGUUCAGGAGGUGGCACUGGACUGAUCAAGGGCAGCAUGGCAGAAAUGAAACUUUCAGCCCCUGCUCUUGCCAGGCAUUUCCACAGAAAUGUGCUUUUCAGGUUCAUGGCUGUACUAAUAUACACCAUUACACGCAUUUUGGAAAUCCAGCUCUUACACUGCUGAUCACACAUUUAUUUUCAAUCCCAAGGCCCCGGGGCACUCAAAAUGACAGUACAAACAAGAGUUCUGAAAUGGGCUCAUAACACCCGCUCAGGAUCUGAAGCAACUGCUGCUGGAUUAAAUCGUGGUCCUUGGGAACGGAGUCCCAAGGUGGGACGAAAAUUCAACUGCAGAACCUGUGCUGCCAACUGGGAGCCACAAGUCCUAUGUGAAACUGUAAGUGGGUUCCCCAACAGAAAAGCUUUGGAAGCACUAUUCAAAAAUAACUACUCACAGGAAAACUUGGGAGUGCUACUUAUAGUGGCUCACGUAGGAUAGAAGGUAAUGGAAUAUGUAGGUGAGAGAGAAAAUGUUCUCCUUUAAACACAGCAAUAUGUGUAAGAUGAGUCAUGCCUCCUGGUCUUUAAUUUGACAUUGUCAUAGUAAAAAUAAAAGAUACAAAAGCUAAAUAGAAAAUGUUAAUAAGAUGUAUUAUACUCCAUAUUAAAACUGUUUUAAUUUGGGAAAAAAUGGUUUUUAAUGGAAAAGACAUUGUCAGCCAUUGCUGUUUGGAUUACUAUGUCAUGAUUAAAUGGCUGAUGGAUCAACUCAAGCUCAGCUGCAGAGCUGAAUGUUAUAUCUAGCGUUCUGCAGUCUUGCCUCAGACUCAUGAUUUUAGAGAAUCUUCUAACUUGGAGAUCUUGUAAUGGUAUCAAUUCUCAAAGGCACUGAGGUACAGCUAGUACUUGACGCACUCUGAACUAUACUCAGGAGAUGAAUCAAAAAUAUGUUAAAACUGUGUAGAAAAUGUAGUUUGAAAAGUCAUCUUUAAUCUAAUGCUUACUGAACUAUUUUAAUUCAGCUUCCCUGAAUGCAGCAAUAAAAGUAUAUUGGCCCUUUUUCUCAUCUGUCUGAUGCCUCCUUUAGUCACUUGACAUACGGGCGAACGGCUCAAAUGACUUUAUUUGCACCAUUGUGAAAGAAUGGUUUCAACAGCUGCUCCACCUCCCUGCUACAUGGCCUCAUCAUGAACAGCUGUAGACUGGCUGGGGACAGCCAGUCUGCACAUACUUACUUUUUGGGUGCUACUGAGACUGGGGGGGUCCUUAAAUGAAAUGAUGAAUUACUAUACAGAUAAUGGGAAAGGAAGACAUCUAGAAAAAAUUGCUCGAUCAGCCUCACUAGUACGCAGAAUAACAAAAAAGGUAGGCUAGAUUUACACUAGCAAGGGAGUUAGAUAUAAGA
Molecule: non-coding RNA, 2225 nt
Organism: Struthio camelus australis
Lineage: Eukaryota; Metazoa; Chordata; Aves; Struthioniformes; Struthionidae
Source: RefSeq, a predicted model, not a curated record